GCCACUGGCGUGCAGAAACUGAAGUUGGCCU
RNAcentral lists this non-coding RNA (31 nucleotides) under Mus musculus (house mouse). The record is from RNAcentral. Lineage: Eukaryota; Metazoa; Chordata; Mammalia; Rodentia; Muridae.